This 102-nucleotide transfer RNA is filed under the name Candidatus Bathyarchaeota archaeon. RNAcentral describes it as "tRNA-Asp". Lineage: Archaea; Thermoproteati; Candidatus Bathyarchaeota. The record is from RNAcentral.
GCCCUGGUAGUAUAGUCCGGCCUAGUAUAGGCGGCUGUCGCCCGCCUGACAUUACAUGAAAAAUGUAACAGGAACCGGGUUCAAAUCCCGGCCAGGGCGCCA